RNAcentral lists this ribosomal RNA (464 nucleotides) under uncultured bacterium. Its description in RNAcentral is "partial 16S ribosomal RNA". It matches the Rfam family "Bacterial small subunit ribosomal RNA", at positions 28 to 507 of the family's 1533-position model. The record is from RNAcentral.
GACGAACGCUGGCGGCGUGCUUAACACAUGCAAGUCGAACGGUAAGGCCCUUUCGGGGGUACACGAGUGGCGAACGGGUGCGUAGCACGUGGGUGAUCUGCCCUGCACUUUGGGAUAAGCCUGGGAAACUGGGUCUAAUACCGGAUAGGACUACGCGAUGCAUGUCGUGUGGUGGAAAGCUUUUGCGGUGUGGGAUGGGCCCGCGGCCUAUCAGCUUGUUGGUGGGGUGAUGGCCUACCAAGGCGACGACGGGUAGCCGGCCUGAGAGGGUGUCCGGCCACACUGGGACUGAGAUACGGCCCAGACUCCUACGGGAGGCAGCAGUGGGGAAUAUUGCACAAUGGGCGCAAGCCUGAUGCAGCGACGCCGCGUGGGGGAUGACGGCCUUCGGGUUGUAAACCCCUUUCAGCACAGACGAAGCGUAAGUGACGGUAUGUGCAGAAGAAGCACCGGCCAACUACGUG